RNAcentral lists this long non-coding RNA (1128 nucleotides) under Nothobranchius furzeri (turquoise killifish). Its description in RNAcentral is "lncRNA (ENSNFUG00015012443.1)". Lineage: Eukaryota; Metazoa; Chordata; Actinopteri; Cyprinodontiformes; Nothobranchiidae. The record is from RNAcentral.
AUGCACACACACAGACACACCUGCACACACACACACACACACACACACACACACACAUGCACACACACAGACACACCUGCACACACACACACACACACACACGUGCAGACAUACACAGACACACACGUGCGCGCACACACACACACAUGCAUACACACACGCGCACACACACACGUGCACACACACACACACACAACGCACAUGCUCACACGCACACACACACACACACACACACGUGCACACACACACGUGUGCUCACACACACACACACACACACAAAGACACAUGUGCACACACGUGCACACACACACAUGCACGCAUACACACACAUGCAUACACACACACCUGCACACACAUGUGCACACACACACGCAUGUGCUCACACGCGCACACACACAUGCAUACACACACACCUGCACACACAUGUGCACACACACACGCAUGUGCUCACACGCACACACACACACGUGCAUACAUAAACGUGCACACACACACACACGCACGUGCUCACACGCACACACACACACACACGUGCACACACACACACACACAAGUGCAUACACACACGUGCACACACACGUGCACACACACACGCGUGCUCACACACACACAAACACACAUGUGCACACACACACAUGCACGCACACACACACAUGCAUACACACACACCUGCACACACACGUGCACACACACACACACACGCAUGUGCUCACACGCACACGUGCAUACACACACGUGCACACACACACACACACACACGCACAUGCUCACACGCACACACACACAUGUGCAUACACACACGUGCACACACACACACAAGUGCAUACACACACGUGCACACACACACACAUGCUCACACACACACACGCACACAAACACACAUGUGCAGACACACGCUUGUAUGAUCUGGUUCCUUGGCCAGAGGAAUGGGAGGAGGACAUUUUUAGGGAGGCACGCAGCUGUCAGCUGUAUGGUUUCGUUUUGGCUCGUGAGUGGCCGAGUGAGCUGGAGGCGUGGCCAGAACUCGGCUGCUGUCCAGUGCGGCACGUAAUACGGGCCGGGCGACGUCACUGGGCUCCUACAGCCAACAGCUGUUUUAACAUGAAGAGGCAGAAUAGCGAUGGAUGA